AAAGAGCUUGUUUUGGAGACACUGCCCAACCCCUUUCAGAUAACGUAAUCAGAAGGACAUAACUUAUUCUCAUGUUUUCACUUCUUCCAGCAUGAU
Long non-coding RNA from Haliotis rubra (blacklip abalone), 96 nucleotides. RefSeq lists it as uncharacterized. The record is from RefSeq and is a predicted model, not a curated record. NCBI's taxonomy places the organism in Eukaryota, Metazoa, Mollusca, Gastropoda, Lepetellida, Haliotidae. The transcript has 3 exons.